RNAcentral lists this ribosomal RNA (914 nucleotides) under uncultured archaeon. RNAcentral's name for it is "bacterial SSU rRNA". It matches the Rfam family "Archaeal small subunit ribosomal RNA", at positions 1 to 922 of the family's 1478-position model. The record is from RNAcentral.
UUCCGGUUGAUCCCGCCGGACCUGACUGCUAUCGGAUUGAUACUAAGCCAUGCGAGUCAUUGUAGCAAUACAAGGCAGACGGCUCAGUAACGCGUAGUCAACCUACCCUAUGGACGGGAAUAACCUCGGGAAACUGAGUAUAAUGCCCGAUAGAACAUUAUACCUGGAAUGGUUUAUGUUCCAAAUGAUUUAUCGCCGUAGGAUGGGACUGCGGCCUAUCAGUUUGUUGGUGAGGUAAUGGCCCACCAAGACUAUUACAGGUACGGGCUCUGAGGGGAGUGGCCCGGAGAUGGGUACUGAGACACGGACCCAGGCCCUAUGGGGCGCAGCAGGCGAGAAAACUUUGCAAUGUGCGAAAGCACGACAAGGUUAAUCCGAGUGGUUUCUGCUAAAGGAACCUUUUGUUAGUCCUAGAAACACUAACGAAUAAGGGGUGGGCAAGUUCUGGUGUCAGCCGCCGCGGUAAAACCAGCACCUCAAGUGGUCAGGAUGAUUAUUGGGCCUAAAGCAUCCGUAGCCGGCUCUGUAAGUUUUCGGUUAAAUCUGUUCGCUUAACGUACAGGCUGCCGGGAAUACUGCAGAGCUAGGGAGUGGGAGAGGUAGACGGUACUCGGGAGGAAGUGGUAAAAUGCUUUGAUCUCUCGAUGACCACCUGUGGCGAAGGCGGUCUACCAGAACACGUCCGACGGUGAGGGAUGAAAGCUGGGGGAGCAAACCGGAUUAGAUACCCGGGUAGUCCCAGCUGUAAACUAUGCAAACUCAGUGAUGCAUUGGCUUGUGGCCAAUGCAGUGUUGCAGGGAAGCCGUUAAGUUUGCCGCCUGGGAAGUACGUACGCAAGUAUGAAACUUAAAGGAAUUGGCGGGGGAGCACCACAAGGGGUGAAGCCUGCGGUUCAAUUGGAUUCAACGCCGGA